UUACAAUCUAAUUAUCUCCAAGCGCACAAAAGACCACGUUUUAUUAUGUCCCAGAAAACUACAUAAAAAUCCAUAACUUGUACAUUAUUACAGGAAAACCAUUCAUUCCACCAUUCAUUUGAAGGCUCGCGUUCGUAUAGAUAAACCAGGCGAAUGCCGCUCUAAUCCCACGAACAGAAUGUACUGUUUCUGCCGUAUAAAGUCCGUUCGGCAUUUUGAGAUGUUUAGUCUUUGUUGGCGGCCAUGUUUUCUGCUGGUUUAGCGAGCAGCGGGACUUCGUGUCUAACUCGUGGAACUAAACUCGGUAUCAGUUCCUACGAAGUCCCGCUGUCGGGCUGGUAGUGGGCUCGUUCGGUAAGGGAAUGAGGACCACCUGGGAGCAGGGUACUUGACCUGCGGUUAACCGCAGAAACCACAGUUAAUGAGCGCCACGCGACCCGCUGUAGGGGGUCGUCGUUCGGUGGAUCGUUCGGUAUUUUCCCUUCGGCACUUUGGGUGCGAACGUCGAUGCCCCCAGGCCUACCAAUUACAUUGUGGUUAACCGCAAACCGCAGCCCUCUGGGUGGUUAAUGGCUACCACACUCCGCGAGCCGGGGGGGCCGCCCGUUCGGUAGUUUGCGGGGUGACGGGGUUAAGUGGCGGCACACGCCAGUUUCUGGGGGGUCCCCCGUUCGUACCACGAAUGGAGCCUCCCUAAGGGUUCGUGUAAUCCAUUCGUGUGGUGUUCUGUUUAACUUAUGCAGUGGCAAACAGUAUCAAUCAGUGAGUAAAAACAGCAACAUGGUGAUCUCCAG
Pelobates cultripes (western spadefoot toad) is the source of this 794-nucleotide non-coding RNA. The record is from the annotation of a GenBank genome assembly. Lineage: Eukaryota; Metazoa; Chordata; Amphibia; Anura; Pelobatidae.